CAUCAUGUCAGCAAGCUCCAUGAAGUAUAAAAAGAAAAGAGAGUCAUUUAAUUUUUACUGUCCCUGUCAGGGCUGAGUCCCAAAGAGGGAGGAGAGCUGUGGUGCCGGCAAUCAGAAGAGACGAAGCUGCAAGCGUAUAUGGAUACCUGCAGGGUGGGUGAGGCAGAAGACAUGGAAAGAAAUAUAUACGAGCAGCUCUUCAAGCUUCGGACACUCCGGCAGGUGCCAGAAGCACUGCAAAGCAUUAUUCCAAGUAAAGGUAAUGCUGCCAGACCAUAGAGGCCAAAGCUUACUGGCAGAGGACAUGCUCUGCACAAAGAGGAUCCCAGGUUUCACCUCUGGCACCUCCUGCUUUUUUUAAAAAAGGUGGCUAAGUAUUAUUAGCAAAUACAUGUUUUUACGUGAGCCGCUGCCUCUGGAAGUGACAAUGUUGGGCUCAAUAGAAAAACUGAGCUAGUAUAAGGUGGUUUCUGUUUUCCUUCGGUCCUAGACAGUGGCUUAGCUAAAUAUUUUCUUUUCCUGCACCAGCAAAUAUUUUCUGAAUUAUCUGAUGAGUUCUGAAUUAAUAUAUUCUCUUCCACAACUCCCUCUGCU
RNAcentral lists this long non-coding RNA (594 nucleotides) under Pogona vitticeps (central bearded dragon). RNAcentral describes it as "lncRNA (ENSPVIG00000015794.1)". The record is from RNAcentral. Lineage: Eukaryota; Metazoa; Chordata; Lepidosauria; Squamata; Agamidae.